AUCGAUGUGAAUUGCAGGACACCCCGAUCACUCGACAUUCGAACGCACAUUGCAGCCACUGGAUAUCCGGUGGCUUCGUUUGUCUGAGCGUCGUAUACAAUAUGUUCAUAAAACAAUUUGAAGAUUUGUUCGUCGCCAUUUGUUUGGCGUCGUCGAAUCAAUUCAAACGAUUGAUGAUGCUGACCUUACGUGAUUCGAAAUGUGGCUUUGUUGCACAUUCUCACGGAAAGGUAUUUGGCGUUUCCAGCCGAACACCUGUGAAUGUGUGCCCAUUGAAUUACCAGUCACUUGUCAUUGUUUUCAAUAAAUAAAAUGUUAAACUUCGACCUCAGAUCAAGCGAGAUUACCCGCUGAAUUUAAGCAUAUAAUUAAGCGGAGGAAAAGAAACCAAAUGGGAUUCUCUGAGUAACGGCGAGCGAAGGAUCCCG
The sequence is a ribosomal RNA, 428 nucleotides long. The stretch from base 324 to 428 matches the Rfam family "Eukaryotic large subunit ribosomal RNA", at positions 1 to 108 of the family's 3401-position model.